RNAcentral lists this ribosomal RNA (261 nucleotides) under uncultured archaeon. RNAcentral describes it as "partial 16S ribosomal RNA". It matches the Rfam family "Archaeal small subunit ribosomal RNA", at positions 748 to 1008 of the family's 1478-position model. The record is from RNAcentral.
CAGCCGUAAACUAUGCGCGUUAGGUGUACUGGUGACCACGAGUCACCGGGGUGCCGAAGGGAAACCGUGAAACGUGCCGCCUGGGAAGUACGGUCGCAAGGCUGAAACUUAAAGGAAUUGGCGGGGGAGCACCGCAACGGGAGGAGCGUGCGGUUUAAUUGGAUUCAACGCCGGGAAGCUCACCGGAUAGGACAGCAGAAUGAUUGCCGGGCUGAAGACCCUGCAUGACUAGCUGAGAGGAGGUGCAUGGCGUCAGUGACU